Molecule: transfer RNA, 74 nt
Filed under: Blautia sp.
Lineage: Bacteria; Bacillati; Bacillota; Clostridia; Lachnospirales; Lachnospiraceae
Also listed under: 1 other name
Description: tRNA-Arg
Rfam family: tRNA
About the family: Transfer RNA (tRNA) molecules are approximately 80 nucleotides in length. Their secondary structure includes four short double-helical elements and three loops (D, anti-codon, and T loops). Further hydrogen bonds mediate the characteristic L-shaped molecular structure. tRNAs have two regions of fundamental functional importance: the anti-codon, which is responsible for specific mRNA codon recognition, and the 3' end, to which the tRNAs corresponding amino acid is attached (by aminoacyl-tRNA synthetases). tRNAs cope with the degeneracy of the genetic code in two manners: having more than one tRNA (with a specific anti-codon) for a particular amino acid; and 'wobble' base-pairing, i.e. permitting non-standard base-pairing at the 3rd anti-codon position.
Source: RNAcentral
UGGUAUAUAGCUCAAUUGGAUAGAGCGCAACACUACGAAUGUUGAGGAUGCCAGUUCAAGUCUGGCUAUACCAU